RNAcentral lists this ribosomal RNA (253 nucleotides) under uncultured bacterium. Its description in RNAcentral is "partial 16S ribosomal RNA". It matches the Rfam family "Bacterial small subunit ribosomal RNA", at positions 524 to 776 of the family's 1533-position model. The record is from RNAcentral.
GACGUAGGGCGCGAGCGUUGUCCGGAUUUAUUGGGCGUAAAGAGCUCGUAGGCGGCUUGUCGCGUCGAAUGUGAAAACUCGGGGCUCAACUCCGAGCUUGCAUUCGAUACGGGCAGGCUAGAGUUCGGUAGGGGAGACUGGAAUUCCUGGUGUAGCGGUGAAAUGCGCAGAUAUCAGGAGGAACACCGGUGGCGAAGGCAGCUCGCUGGGACGGUACUGACGCUAAGGCGCGAAAGCGUGGGGAGCGAACAGG